This 165-nucleotide ribosomal RNA is filed under the name uncultured bacterium. RNAcentral describes it as "partial 16S rRNA". It matches the Rfam family "Bacterial small subunit ribosomal RNA", at positions 355 to 511 of the family's 1533-position model. The record is from RNAcentral.
UAGGGAAUCUUCCACAAUGGGCGCAAGCCCUGAUGGAGCAACGCCGCGUGAGUGAAGAAGGUUUUCGGAUCGUAAAGCUCUGUUGUUGGUGAAGAAGGAUAGAGGUAGUAACUGGCCUUUAUUUGACGGUAAUCAACCAGAAAGUCACGGCUAACUACGUGCCAG